RNAcentral lists this ribosomal RNA (319 nucleotides) under uncultured eukaryote. RNAcentral's name for it is "partial 18S ribosomal RNA". It matches the Rfam family "Eukaryotic small subunit ribosomal RNA", at positions 1470 to 1796 of the family's 1831-position model. The record is from RNAcentral.
CCCUUAGAUGUUCUGGGCAGCACGCGCGCUAAAAUGGUCUUCGCAAACGGAUGCAUUCUCGAAGGAGAAUGCCAAUCUUGGAAUCUAUGCCUUGGUCGGGACAGUUGCUUGCAAUUUUUCGACUCGAACCAGGAAUUCCUUGUAAUCGUGAUUCAUCACAUCACGAUGAAUACGUCCCUGCCCUUUGUACACACCGCCCGUCGCUCCUACCGAUCGAAGAGUUAGGUGAAUUGUUUUGAUCGAUAAGAUUUGACUAUGGUCAACUCUCGUUGUGAAAUUCUGUGAAUCUGACUGUUUAGCGGAAGGAAAAGUCGUAACA